GACUUGAAUCUGUAACCCAAAUAAACUGAAUUACCCAGUUGUUUCACAAGUCACUUACACAAAGAAAAGAGCUUAAUUUUUCUUCUCAUACUUCUUAGUAAUGCCUAUCAGGACAGCCAAUCAAAUAGACUUCAUAAUCUCCUAAGGCUCUACAAAAGCUAUUUUCUUUUUUCUCUUCAACUUACUAUCUGAGAUAUACCAUAGGUGAUGAGAAGCAUGAGAGAAUUUUAAUGCUACAUGAAUUAUCCUUGGAAUUUAUAUUUUUCAUCCAAAAAAGAACUGUUCCCAAAGAACUCUCUUGUAAAUAGAGACUUUGAGGAAAACAGAGAGGUGCGCUAAACUGGGCAUCCUGCAAAAUGCCUUCCUGAGCAGAAGAUGACGCCACCUUCCCACUCAGUUCUGCCAGCACAGGAUCUGUUAAUGUCAAGCCAUUGCCUCUUCUUGUCCCCUGCACAAAACACUUGAAGGAUCUAACUCCCAAUGCAACAGAUUUCUUGAUAGCUCAUCACAGCCACCUGGUUGUACUGCUGAUAGUCUUCUAGAAUUCCAAAUCAGCUUACCAAUGUCAUUAUGUAUUUCUACAGUAAAUAAAACAAGAACUCUAACAGCACCUUUUUAAAUCGGUAACAAGGAUGGAAAGCAUCAAAAUGAUUAGGCACAAAAACCUUGAGAAUUUAUCUUUAAAUUGUUAGCAAAGGAAAGGAAAAUAAAAAAUGUGGCAGUCAUUCAUUCUAUGGAACAACAUUCUUUCUCCUAAUACAAAAUGAAAUGCCAUACGUGCAGAUACUGGCCAAUAUAAAGGAGCCAAGUUACGUCUAGCAAAGAUUUUUCACUAGGUGACCAUUCUUGACAAUAUUUAGCAUUGUGAGAAAUAAGUAAUGUUAAGGUUUGACAUCUGUAAGUGCCUGAAUUUUCAUAAAGAACUUGAAAGAGAUUCAAUCGGGUUACUAUGGUAAGAUGAUCUAUCAAGAGGAAUAAUUUAAGAGGAAUUAAAGUUUUAAAAACAAAAAUCUUUUUUAAAUUAAAAAAGAAAUAAAAAUCUUUUCCCAGAAAGACCUGUGCUCUCCUUGAUGCUGCUUUGUCAAUGGAAACCUGGCGGUAAUAGGC
This 1107-nucleotide long non-coding RNA is filed under the name Marmota monax (woodchuck). Lineage: Eukaryota; Metazoa; Chordata; Mammalia; Rodentia; Sciuridae. The record is from RNAcentral.